GUUUACAAAGUGACCUUGCCAUGAAAUGCUCCCAAUCUACAACAAUAUUACUUUGUGAAUUUAGUUGGACAAAAUUGCGUGAAACAUUUUCCAGUUUUCACAUAGAAUGGAAGCUUACCAAGUGCAAUCAAUCAUGGACUUCUGGAAAUAUGGACUCCAAACGAGCUUCCUGCCAAAUUGGCUUGCUUUUGGUCAUGGUAACUCUGAGUCACUUUGCAAAUAAAAAUGAUAAAGGUUUAUUCUGAAGGCAGGAUUCAAACCCACGCCCUCUGGGAAACCAUGUUGUGUCUCUAUUGAGUGAAUUAGACUUGCCACCAAAUUUAGCCAGGAUGAGUUUGGUCCAAGCCCAUAUCUUAGGCCCAAAUUUCUUGAAAUAUGGACUUUGAACGAGCCCCCCUGCAAAAUGGCUUGCUCUCAUAGCAACUCUAGCCACUUUGAAAAUUAAAGCAUUUGGAUAGAAAACUCUUCUGGACCUACAUCAACCAAAUUUUCUUCUAUGGCCUUCACCUUUGGCUGCCCAACUCUGCCCAAUCCGCCUUCCAGUCCGCCAAGGCCACCUUCCACCUUUACAUAGUUCCUCAAAUGAUACCUGGGCGUGCCCCAAUAUGCCAAAAAUGCAUGGACACAUUUUCUAUGCAAAACCGAGCCCCUCACCCGAUGGCUGGCCAGUUUAGUGUCCACCAGUAUUGGGAACCUGACCUUUCUGGAUGUGAUGUCCGGACACAAGUUAUCUUUUCCGGUCAAGGACUUACUAACACCUUAUUGUCCUUGGCCCGACAUCCCUUCGGAGUAUUGGUGGUCACGCACCUUUGUCAAGCUCCCGGCCCAAUACCAUCAACGGCGGGAGCUGACAAUAGAUCUGUUCAAUCUGACCCACCCACUCUACCAUGUACUGCAAGAAUAAAGAUUUUCACCACCUGCC
This is a long non-coding RNA of Tigriopus californicus, 922 nucleotides long. RefSeq lists it as uncharacterized. The transcript has 2 exons. The record is from RefSeq and is a predicted model, not a curated record. NCBI's taxonomy places the organism in Eukaryota, Metazoa, Arthropoda, Copepoda, Harpacticoida, Harpacticidae.